This 403-nucleotide ribosomal RNA is filed under the name Acinetobacter baumannii. Its description in RNAcentral is "bacterial SSU rRNA". It matches the Rfam family "Bacterial small subunit ribosomal RNA", at positions 1 to 404 of the family's 1533-position model. The record is from RNAcentral. Lineage: Bacteria; Pseudomonadati; Pseudomonadota; Gammaproteobacteria; Moraxellales; Moraxellaceae.
UUUAACUGAAGAGUUUGAUCAUGGCUCAGAUUGAACGCUGGCGGCAGGCUUAACACAUGCAAGUCGAGCGGGGGAAGGUAGCUUGCUACUGGACCUAGCGGCGGACGGGUGAGUAAUGCUUAGGAAUCUGCCUAUUAGUGGGGGACAACAUCUCGAAAGGGAUGCUAAUACCGCAUACGUCCUACGGGAGAAAGCAGGGGAUCUUCGGACCUUGCGCUAAUAGAUGAGCCUAAGUCGGAUUAGCUAGUUGGUGGGGUAAAGGCCUACCAAGGCGACGAUCUGUAGCGGGUCUGAGAGGAUGAUCCGCCACACUGGGACUGAGACACGGCCCAGACUCCUACGGGAGGCAGCAGUGGGGAAUAUUGGACAAUGGGGGGAACCCUGAUCCAGCCAUGCCGCGUGU